Molecule: ribosomal RNA, 253 nt
Filed under: uncultured bacterium
Lineage: Bacteria
Description: partial 16S ribosomal RNA
Rfam family: Bacterial small subunit ribosomal RNA
Source: RNAcentral
UACGUAGGCAGCGAGCGUUGUUCGGAGUUACUGGGCGUAAAGCGUGCGUAGGCGGCGGUCCAUGUCUGGUGUGAAAUCUCCCGGCUUAACUGGGAGGGUGCGCCGGAAACGGGGCUGCUGGAGUGCGGGAGAGGUAAGCGGAAUUCCUGGUGUAGCGGUGAAAUGCGCAGAUAUCAGGAAGAACACCCGUGGCGAAGGCGGCUCUCUGGGACGGUACUGACGCUGAGACGCGAAAGCGUGGGGAGCGAACAGG